GUUCGGGUAGCUCAGGGGUAGAGCACUUCGUUGACAUCGAAGUGGUCGUUGGUUCAAAUCCAAUCUCGAACACCA
Molecule: transfer RNA, 75 nt
Filed under: Arcobacter sp.
Lineage: Bacteria; Pseudomonadati; Campylobacterota; Epsilonproteobacteria; Campylobacterales; Arcobacteraceae
Description: tRNA-Val
Rfam family: tRNA
About the family: Transfer RNA (tRNA) molecules are approximately 80 nucleotides in length. Their secondary structure includes four short double-helical elements and three loops (D, anti-codon, and T loops).
Source: RNAcentral